GAUCAUGGCUCAGAACGAACGCUGGCGGCAGGCCUAAGACAUGCAAGUCAAGGGGUCCAGCAAUGGACACCGGCGCACGGGUGCGUAACGCGUGGGAAUGUACCUCUAGGUGCGGAACAACACAGGGAAACUUGUGCUAAUACCGCAUAAUAUCUUCGGAUCAAAGAUUUAUCGCCUAGGGAUCAGCCCGCGUAAGAUUAGGUAGUUGGUAGGGUAAUGGCCUACCAAGCCUACGAUCUUUAGCUGGUCUGAGAGGAUGAUCAGCCACACUGGGACUGAGACACGGCCCAGACUCCUACGGGAGGCAGCAGUUAGGAAUAUUGGACAAUGGAGGAAACUCUGAUCCAGCCAUGCCGCGUGAGUGAAGAAGGCCUUCGGGUUGUAAACUCUUUUAGUCGUGACGAUGAUGACGGUAGCGACAGAAAAAGCUCCGGCUAACUUCGUG
Molecule: ribosomal RNA, 445 nt
Filed under: uncultured bacterium
Lineage: Bacteria
Description: bacterial SSU rRNA
Rfam family: Bacterial small subunit ribosomal RNA
Source: RNAcentral